UGCCAGCAGCCGCGGUAAUACGUAUGUCGCAAGCGUUAUCCGGAAUUAUUGGGCGUAAAGCGAGUCUAGGCGGCUUGUUAAGUCAGAUGUGAAAUCCCAAGGCUCAACCUUGGAGCUGCCAUCAAAACUUUUUAGCUAGAGUAUGAUAGAGGAAAGUGGAAUUUCUAGUGUAGAGGUGAAAUUCGUAGAUAUUAGAAAGAACAUCAAAUGCGAAGGCAACUUUCUGGAUCAUUACUGACACUGAGGAGCGAAAGCAUGGGUAGCGAAGAGGAUUAGAUA
RNAcentral lists this ribosomal RNA (279 nucleotides) under uncultured bacterium. Its description in RNAcentral is "partial 16S ribosomal RNA". It matches the Rfam family "Bacterial small subunit ribosomal RNA", at positions 506 to 784 of the family's 1533-position model. The record is from RNAcentral.